UUCAUGGAUCAUAUAUAAGAAAAAGUGAGAAUGUGUUUUUAAAGUUAAUAUAGGAGAUUUUCUUUAGAUUUGUCUAAAUAUUUUCAUUAAUUUUAUGCUACUAACUUUUCCAUUUUUUAUAUAAUAAUGUGUGUAAUCAGUCUUUCAUGAGUAUUUUAGUUACUGUUUUCUAUAUUUCUAUUGUUAAAAGAAAUCAUCAUCAUAUUCAGCAUUUCUAUUUCAUCUACUGCUGCAUAUACGAGGUGGCAUGUAUUGUAUCUACCAUUUUCAAUUAGCAACCCUUUAGACUCUACAUACACAUGUGGGUACCCAUGCAUACAUGCAUAAGCAAUUGAAAGGGGUGCAAUCAUUCUACCAAUGAAUAUUGGAUAGUGCAAACACAAAUCACAAUAUAGUGGAGAUGUUUAUCCAAAUAGGCUCCCUUAUGAAGGUCCAGAGGGCACUGUGGCAUAGCAGUGAAGAUUGUCAUGCACUUGUUUCAGAUCAACACAGCAUUUUGAGAUGGGUCAAACAACAAUGGAAAGUCACAAGCAGUAUUCUGAACUGUCAGCUGCCAAGUCAAAAAAAAAUAUUCAAAUGCCAGAAAACUGUUCAUGCAGUGCUAAAAUGGAGUCCAUGACACUUAUUGGACUAGCUGCUAUCAGAUUAGAAAUUCCAUCCCUGUAAAUUGCAUAAGGUUCAGGAGUUGAGGGACAUUGAUAAGGACAGUUGACACACUGUUUGUUCUAACAUUCUGGCAAGGAUGGAUCAAGAACCCAUAUUGUAAAAAAAGUUAGCUUCAUCUGAUAUAAGCAAGUGUUGUUCCCUUAUCCAGAUGUAGACCUUCCUGGUAAAUUCUAACAUAUAUCUUUCCAUAUUUCUUUGGGUUGUUGCUAGUUCUGUUCCAGAUUUUUUUGUAAGAGUCCUUGUGCAGUCAUUAAUUUCACUAUAAUAUUAAUACCUAAUCUAAGAACUCUGCAAUGAUUCAAAAAUCCAUUUGGCCAGGAUUUUUAUCAGAAAUUAAUUUCUGAAAUAAUAAUUAUUCUUAACACUAAAAAUAACAAGCAACUGGAACUUCACAGUUGUUAAAGAAAAUCGUGAACACGUUAGAAUCAAAACAAUAAAAUUACAUUAAUAUACUUAAUUAGAAAUAGAAUAAUUACCAUACAAAUAAAUAAUAAUAUAUAAUUUAUUAAUUCC
Molecule: long non-coding RNA, 1179 nt
Filed under: Androctonus crassicauda
Lineage: Eukaryota; Metazoa; Arthropoda; Arachnida; Scorpiones; Buthidae
Source: RNAcentral